RNAcentral lists this long non-coding RNA (1349 nucleotides) under Homo sapiens (human). RNAcentral describes it as "HSALNT0206046". The record is from RNAcentral. Lineage: Eukaryota; Metazoa; Chordata; Mammalia; Primates; Hominidae.
GGAGAAACCUAGGUCAAAUCCAGUGCCAUGUUGGGUCUAGUUGGUCUUAGUCUUAGCUUGGCCCACACCCUGGUUGUGCAGAGUCUUACAGCCUCAAGCUUCUGCAGCUACUUCAACAGUUUUCCUUUUGCUAAUCAGGUUAAACUGCUGCUGGCAAUUUUCUAUUCUCCUGCAACCACCCUGAAUGACCCCUGUCUCAGGGGGACACAGGCACAGGCCCUUACAUGCUUACUCCUGGAAAGGAUGCAAGAAACCUAUGCUCACUUCUCAUAGCCCAAGGGACAUGCAAGUAAAUCUUAACUGCUGCUCACUCUGGGUCUACACUGCUUUUAUGAGCUGUAACACUUACCGCGAAGGUCUGCAGCUUCACUCCUGAAGCCAGCGAGACCACGAGUCCACCGGGAGGAAGAACAACUCCAGACGUGCCGCCUUAAGAGCUGUAACACUCACUGUGAAGGUCCGCAGCUUCACUCCUGAAGCCAGCGAGACCAUGAGUCCACCGUGAGGAAGAACAACUCCAGACGUGCUGCCUUAAGAGCUGUAACACUCACUGUGAAGGUCCGCAGCUUCACUCCUGAGCCAGCGAGACCACGAACCCACCAGAAGGAAGAAACUCCGAACACAUCCGAACAUCAGAAGGAACAAACUCCAGAUGCGCCACCUUAAGAGCUGUAACACUCACCGCGAGGGUCCGCGGCUUCAUUCUUGAAGUCAGUGAGACCAAGAACCCACCAAUUCCAGACUCACUAAGACAUUACUUUUAGCUCAGCAUUUCUUGGAUGCCCAGGCAAAAGUAUGGAUGCAUAAAAUUAGAUAAUCCCUACAGUCUUAUGGAAUGUGGCUUUUGCUGGCCAAGCCUCUCUCGCUUACCACAGUGCAACUUCAAGAAUUAAUAUAUUCAAAAAAGGCCUGGAAUUUCCAAACAACAUUCUUAUUAAGGGGGCAGUGGCAUCCUCAUGCAAGCUGGUCUACUGGUGGCUGCCCCUGUGACCUGCUUCUGAAUGGCCAGGCAGGAAAAGUCUCCCACUGUGUUGCAUUUAAAGAAAAGAAAAAGAUGAAUUAAGUAAAAAGCUCUGCAAACAACUGAGUGUAAUUAUUGGAUAUGUAUAAACUUAUGCAUAUUUUCCUUUUUUUAAUUAUACUUUAAGUUCUAGGGCACAUGUGCACAACGUGCAGGUUAGUUACAUAUGUAUACAUGUGCCAUGUUGGUGUGCUGCACCCAUUAACUCGUCAUUUAACAUUCGGUAUAUCUCCUAAUGCUAUCCCUCCCCCCUCCCCCCACCCCACAACAGGCCCUGGUAUGUGAUGUUCCCCUUCCUGUGUCCAUGUGUUCUCAUUGUUCAAUUCCC